ACGGCCGGUGGGUUUGCCUCCUUCAAAGUCAGAACCAUAAGGAGCAAAAUUCGCUUUGACAGACGUGUUAAGAUUGUUAUUGUUCCCUGAAUCAACCAAUGAAUCUCCUAUAACAUACAAAGCCUGAAAAUUCCCGCCAAAAAGCACAGGUUCUACUUUUGAUCGCUUCGAGUUAAUGGUGGAGACAUUGAGAAGAAAAAGGAAGAUCAAAAGAAGGCAUGGCUUUAGAGAAGGCAAACCCAUUUCUAUCUUUCUCUUUCGGGGUUGGAGAAAGAAAAGAAAUGAACCUUGCAAAUAGGAAACAACGAAGAUGAAAGUUAAUUAUAAGCGAUUUGGAAAGCAUCAUACAGCUUUUACACAAGCUAAAUAUAUAAUACAACAUGGUAAAAGCUAUAAUUAACCAUUGUUAAGUGUUACCUAAUCCUAUAUAUGAACUGAAAAAUAAACAAUAUCGAAACUUUUUCUAUAAAAAAAACCUCCUAUGGCGACGAACGGUGUAUCCAAACUCUUAACAUAAAUAUCUAAUCAGAGACAGCUGAAUAUACGUAAAAGCUUCCGUUGUAAAUUCUCUGUCUAUUCGGCAGCAACAAGUAAAGUUGUGAUUUUUUAAGAUUGUCGCUGAGUAAAGUUAAUUUAUUUACUCACACAACUUCGCAAACUUUUCUCUGCUGGAAACAUCCAAUUGAGUACAUGAAAUUCGCCAAUUCAGUCGGAUGAAAUGGAUCAAAGAAAAUAUGUGUAUCUGGCACCUUACACGAGCUUGAUCGUGGCGUGCAACUCGUGCGUUUAUCUCCAUCAUAAACGCUAGGGCAACAUGGGCUUAUCGAGUUCAUUAGAUUCGAACUAACUUGAUUGGUCGAUGGUCCGCGAAGUCCCAACAUGAAGUUGAAGUAAUCUGAGUAUAAGAAAGAAGCUUCGGAGAAUGUUUUUUUCAAAUGAGUCAGGCUUUUCCUUAGCUUGACGUUGUAUUUGGCAACCGCUUUGUUUAAAUACUUGCUGCAGCUUCCACGUGGUACGGUGUUAGCUACUAUGUAAUUUGGGUAACAUCCUAAUGGUUUAAGAUUGUUGAUGAAGAACUUCCUUGCUCCUAACUCAUGCAAUCUCUGCAAACAAAAAUCAGAAUAUUUUGUACAAUGCAUCUCGAUUAACCCUGAAAAAAAUAUUUGAGCCUAAACUCAGACUAAUAUAUAUAUUAAAGAUUUAAUUAAUUCGAUUUAUAUAUUUUUAUUUUAUAAACUAUACUCCUAUAAAAACACUCCUAUAUCAAAAAUCUACAUUUUAAAGUUUUCACACAUACUAAAAUUUAAUUAUAACUUUAUUAAUUAUAUUCUGUGAUUAUCUAUUUUCUCUAUUUUUAAAUUAACAAAAAUUUAAUAAAUAUAAUUAUUUUUAUAACUCACAGUCUGUCAUUAUUAUUUAUUAAAAAUGCAUAGAAAAUGCAAAAGAGUACAUCUUCUUGAAAGAAUAUUAAAAAAAAACAUAUUAUCUAUUAGCAUUUAAAAAGAUAUUUUUUGGUUUCAGUUUUUCAAAAGUUUGUAAGUUUAAGUCUCAUCCGGUUCACUGUUAAGCUAAUAUGUUUGGUUCGGUCUAUCUCAAUCAAACAAUAUUACCAUUAGUUAACGUAGAGGCCAAUGAAAAAUUGGCGAAAAUUCAAACGUCAUUUUAUUUUACCUUAAUCUGCUUCAAGAAAUCAUGAAGAAGCUUUUUUGCGAAUUCAUUUGGAUCGGUUGUCUCUUUAAAGUAGAAAGCGUAAUCGUUAACUCCAAUCGCGGUCAUGAACAACGAUCCAGCCAAGUGUUUAGUGAGCUCUGAGUUCGUCUUAAACUUUUUCUUCAGAUUAUUGUCGAUGGUCUUUUCUAAUAGAUCAACUUGGGCACUCAACGAAAGACAUUUGCCCUUUUUCAUAGAAAGAAUCAUAUAAAACUCAUUAGUUUACCAAUAUUGCAACUAAAGAUCAUUUUGUAGAAUAUUGAAACUUACCAGUUGCGUUCCUGUAUCAGGAAAAAUCCCACAGCUAGCAGAAGCAUAAUUAAUACCAGUUGAGAUAUUGUUCUUUUGUUCUUCUGAUAAUCCCAUAUACGCAGGAGCCAAAGGAAGCCCAUAAUAAAUAGCUGAAAAAACAUCCAAGACCAUUAGACAAGGUUUAAAUGCCAAUAUUUUUAGUUAUUUUGUAUAGUUUAUAGAAUUGUAGGAACUCAUAUUCGUUUUCCAAAAUCCCCACCUAGAACAAUGUAUCUGUCUUAACUUUCAAUAUUUAUUAAGUUAUUAAGAGUACACAAUUUCCAUAAAAUUACCAAUCAGAAAUAAUUUUUGACCUAAUUAUCAGAAAAGAAAACAAUCACUGGUUAAUGUUAUAAGUCCUUUGAGUAAUUAAUUACACAACCUAUAAAACAUCCGUAAACAAAAAGGAGAGAAAUACAAAUUUUGUUUCGUUCUUACCAAUGUAAUCAGCAAUUGUUUUGCCAUUGCUAAAACGGCCGGUGGGUUUGCCUCCUUCAAAGUCAGAACCAUAAGGAGCAAAAUUCGCUUUGACAGACGUGUUAAGAUUGUUAUUGUUCCCUGAAUCAACCAAUGAAUCUCCUAUAACAUACAAAGCCUGAAAAUUCCCGCCAAAAAGCACAGGUUCUACUUUUGAUCGCUUCGAGUUAAUGGUGGAGACAUUGAGAAGAAAAAGGAAGAUCAAAAGAAGGCAUGGCUUUAGAGAAGGCAAACCCAUUUCUAUCUUUCUCUUUCGGGGUUGGAGAAAGAAAAGAAAUGAACCUUGCAAAUAGG
Molecule: long non-coding RNA, 2772 nt
Filed under: Brassica napus (rape)
Lineage: Eukaryota; Viridiplantae; Streptophyta; Magnoliopsida; Brassicales; Brassicaceae
Description: long non-coding RNA (BNAP_LNC001675)
Source: RNAcentral